AUGUGUGCCAGUUAUGUAAAAUCAAAAGAAAUUUUUUUUACAAUACGAAAAAAUUGGGAAAGAACCGUUCAACUUUACACUCAUUUUAGUAUAUUUAUACGGUCGCAAAUUAUUUCAGAGGUUAUGUCUGAAAGUCGGUUAAGAAAGCUAUUGGCCGAAAAACAUCAGCCUCAGUGCUGGAAACCCAAUGUAAUGCAUGCUCGGAAAAGGUCCAAUUGAAGGCACUAUCCAGUCAGGUUACUAUAUGCUCUCGUAUUAUUGCACCAACGCGUCACGCUUUUUUGAGUUAACCGCAAGAAGAUGCUUCCAAACAAGACUUGAAUGGCCCACCCUUUUUGCCGUAAGUUCAUAGUUUUAAUUUUAGUGUUUCAUUUUUCACUACUUAGAUUAAUUUUUCGAAGCACAAUCUCUCUCGAAUUUGUCGUUAUUGAAUUGUUAUAUACAGAUAAUAUAACUGCUUUUGAUAAAUAAAAAAAAAAGUUUACCGCAGUGGGAAAUUGGCAUUGUAAUCGGGUCUUUGAAGAUCAUACUUACUGAUGUCAGCAAAGGUAACUUGAGUUUUACAAUGUUCGUUGCGACAAAUUCAAAAGAUGCGCCACUCUGACGGAAGACAAACGCCUUCAACUAAAAAUAAAACAGAAAGAAUGAAAAAAAUAAAAAAAAAGUUAAGUUUCUCGUUAGCGAAAGUUUUGAAGGUCGUAGCAUUAUGCACAAAUUCACUUUGAGCUAAUGAAAAAAAAACUACACUUAAAAAUUUGUAGAACAACCAUGACCAAGUUAUUUCAUAGAUGAAUGGAUUCAAAAGCCGACGGGUGCACGCGAAAAAAAGCGUAUUUAUCUUUGAUUGCAACGUUAUGCACCACUUUUUAUGUUAUAUUUUUUAACUUGGUUUUUAAAAAGCUACACACACGGUUUUUCUGACGAAUUCCCAAGUUUUUCUUUUAAAGAAAAAGAAAAAAAGCUACACACAGUUUUUUAGAAGUUUCGAAAUUUCCAGAAUGAUUUAAAAUAAAAUAAAAAAAAUGUCGACGCGAUAUUUUCGUUUGUUCCGUUUUCUUUUUAUUAAACCAAAAUUAAUUUUAUGCUACCCAAGUUUCAGAAUCGCUGCAUCGUUUAAACAUCGUCCGAGUUUCUAAAUCGUUGCACUCAAGAUACAUAUUGACCCUUUAAUUGGGGUAAAAACCGGGCAGGGACCGUCAAAAAAAAUGACGCUUGGACCUAAUUUUGCGGUGAUUUUAGCGUCGCGCAAGCCAGGGAAGGAAGUGCGGUCGAGUGUCAAGUCAUCGUCACAGUGUGAUGCGCCCUCAAUCCAGCUAGCGUUAAUGUGCCUAUACCCGCCAUAGAGUCGUAAUGUAAGUGGGUGAGCUGGCGCCACUUUUAAUCAUUUUCCAGGUCCCGAAUUCCGAGACUCCUGUGUGACGCCGGGUCACUUUUUUGAUACAUAAUCGAUUGUUUGCGAUACUACACGGCCAUCCGAUGUAAACAAAGAAGAUAGAAAUCAUCACGUAUUCCACACCGCCAUUUUGGAUCGAACAUGUAUCGAAAAAGUGACCCGAAUUCGGCGCACACCGGGCUCGGAACUCGUCGAGCAGAUCAUGGCGCCAGCUCUCCCAUUUACAUUACGACUCUAUGUGCUCUAUGAUACCCGCAGUCGAAUAGUUAUUGCAAAUAACUCUCGCGUUGCGUUUGGUGUAAUGCGAGAAGUAUUCAUGCAGUCUUGUAGGCGCUAAUAUGCGUUCGACGCCAACCGCACUGUUUGGCGCAAUGCGUGAAGUAUUCCUGCAGUCCUGCAGGCGCUGAUAUGAGUUUGACGCCGACCGCACCGUGUAUGGCGAGAUUAUUCGAACUCGCGUUAGGAUAAUCGUGGCAUCAAACAAUGGAGCUUAGUAGGCCCAUGUUGUGUUUCGACGCCGUAUGAGCACUCCGACGGAGCCUCGUUUCUCCCGAUAAAAUAUUUUCUCUGAGAAAAUAUAGGAAAGAUCUGUAUGUUCGCUUGUUUAGAUUGAAUGGGUC
Molecule: long non-coding RNA, 2013 nt
Filed under: Bemisia tabaci
Lineage: Eukaryota; Metazoa; Arthropoda; Insecta; Hemiptera; Aleyrodidae
Description: lncRNA ENSSSA1UGG001250
Source: RNAcentral